UACGUAGGGGGCAAGCGUUAUCCGGAUUUACUGGGUGUAAAGGGAGCGUAGACGGCAGAGCAAGUCCGGAGUGAAAGCCCGGGGCCCAACCCCGGGACUGCUCUGGAAACUGUUAAGCUGGAGUGCGGGAGGGGCAGGCGGAAUUCCUGGUGUAGCGGUGAAAUGCGUAGAUAUCAGGAGGAACACCGGCGGCGAAGGCGGCUGUCUGGUCUGCAACUGACGCUGAGGCUCGAAAGCAUGGGUAGCGAACAGG
Molecule: ribosomal RNA, 253 nt
Filed under: uncultured Eubacteriales bacterium
Lineage: Bacteria; Bacillati; Bacillota; Clostridia; Eubacteriales
Description: uncultured Clostridiales bacterium partial 16S ribosomal RNA
Rfam family: Bacterial small subunit ribosomal RNA
Source: RNAcentral